GAUGAACGCUGGCGGCGUGCCUAAUACAUGCAAGUCGAGCGAACGGACGAGAAGCUUGCUUCUCUGAUGUUAGCGGCGGACGGGUGAGUAACACGUGGAUAACCUACCUAUAAGACUGGGAUAAAUUCGGGAAACCGGAGCUAAUACCGGAUGAUAUUUUGAACCGCAUGGUUCAAAAGUGAAAGACGGUCUUGCUGUCACUUAUAGAUGGAUCCGCGCUGCAUUAGCUAGUUGGUAAGGUAACGGCUUACCAAGGCAACGAUGCAUAGCCGACCUGAGAGGGUGAUCGACCACACUGGAACUGAGACACGGUCCAGACUCCUACGGGAGGCAGCAGUAGGGAAUCUUCCGCAAUGGGCGAAAGCCUGACGGAGCAACGCCGCGUGAGUGAUGAAGGUCUUCGGAUCGUAAAACUCUGUUAUUAGGGAAGAACAUAUGUGUAAGUAACUGUGCACAUCUUGACGGUACCUAAUCAGAAAGCCACGGCUAACUACGUG
This 497-nucleotide ribosomal RNA is filed under the name uncultured bacterium. RNAcentral's name for it is "partial 16S ribosomal RNA". It matches the Rfam family "Bacterial small subunit ribosomal RNA", at positions 28 to 507 of the family's 1533-position model. The record is from RNAcentral.